Molecule: non-coding RNA, 108 nt
Organism: Ricinus communis (castor bean)
Lineage: Eukaryota; Viridiplantae; Streptophyta; Magnoliopsida; Malpighiales; Euphorbiaceae
Source: Rfam
AAUCCGUGAUGUGGGCAGCAUCUCAAAAGAUCUUUAAACCUCUCCCAUGCAUCGUACAUGCUUUCAUCAUCAAAUUACAUAAAAGAAGAUAUGUAAAUUUCUAAGUUU